UGGAGCAUGUGGUUUAAUUCGAUGCAACGCGAAGAACCUUACCUGGUCUUGACAUCCACAGAACUUUCCAGAGAUGGAUUGGUGCCUUCGGGAACUGUGAGACAGGUGCUGCAUGGCUGUCGUCAGCUCGUGUUGUGAAAUGUUGGGUUAAGUCCCGCAACGAGCGCAACCCUUAUCCUUUGUUGCCAGCGGUCCGGCCGGGAACUCAAAGGAGACUGCCAGUGAUAAACUGGAGGAAGGUGGGGAUGACGUCAAGUCAUCAUGGCCCUUACGACCAGGGCUACACACGUGCUACAAUGGCGCAUACAAAGAGAAGCGACCUCGCGAGAGCAAGCGGACCUCAUAAAGUGCGUCGUAGUCCGGAUUGGAGUCUGCAACUCGACUCCAUGAAGUCGGAAUCGCUAGUAAUCGUGGAUCAGAAUGCCACGGUGAAUACGUUCCCGGGCCUUGUACACACCGCCCGUCACACCAUGGGAGUGGGUUGCAAAAGAAGUAGGUAGCUUAACCUUCGGGAGGGCGCUUACCACUUUGUGAUUCAUGACUGGGGUGAAGUCGUAACAAGGUAACCGUAGGGGAACCUGCGGUUGGAUCACCUCCUUACCUUAAAGAAGC
Molecule: ribosomal RNA, 612 nt
Filed under: Escherichia coli
Lineage: Bacteria; Pseudomonadati; Pseudomonadota; Gammaproteobacteria; Enterobacterales; Enterobacteriaceae
Description: bacterial SSU rRNA
Rfam family: Bacterial small subunit ribosomal RNA
Source: RNAcentral